Molecule: ribosomal RNA, 467 nt
Filed under: uncultured bacterium
Lineage: Bacteria
Description: partial 16S ribosomal RNA
Rfam family: Bacterial small subunit ribosomal RNA
Source: RNAcentral
ACGAACGCUGGCGGCGUGCUUAACACAUGCAAGUCGAACGGAAAGGCCCUGCUUUUUUGGGGUGCUCGAUUGGCGAACGGGUGAUUAACACGUGAGUAACCUGCCCUUUACUUUGGGAUAACUUCUGGAAACUGGGGCUAAUACCGGAUAGGAGCUCCUUCUUCAUGGUGGGGGUUGGAAAGUUUCGGCGGUUGGGGAUGGACUGGCGGCUUAUCAGCUUGUUGUUGGGGUAGUGGCUUACCAAGGCUUUUACGGGUAGCCGGCCUGAGAGGGUGACCGGCCACAUUGGGACUGAGAUACGGCCCAGACUGCUACGGGAGGCAGCAGUGGGGAAUAUUGCACAAUGGGCGGAAGCAUGAUGAAGCAAAGCAGCGUGCGGGAUGACGGCCUUCGGGUUGUAAAAAGAUUUCGACUGUGACGAAGAGUGAGUGACGGUAAUGGGUAAAGAAGCACCGGCUAACUACGUG